GGCGGGCGGGUGAGCGCGGCGGCCAUGGUUGCGGCGGUGGUGGCGCGCGGCGGCGGCGGCGGCUAGGGCUCAGGCGGCUUGGUGCGGGAGAGAGGCGGCGGCGAAGGGGAGAGAUCGCUUCGAGAGAGUGAUUUUAUAGCGAGGGGAUUAGGGUUUAGCUCUAGUGGGCCAUGGGGGAUAGUUAGUGGACCACUAUGGGCCGGGCUAGAAUUAGUUGGGCCUUCGCGAGCCCAACUUGUGGGCUAGUUUUUCGCUUGUAAAAGGCCAUGGGGGGAGGAGGCGGCGAGCUAGGGUUUCGACCCUCACGAACACUACUUGAUCUUAUCCGAGCUUGCCGUCCGGCGGCGCCGCGGCGGCCGGAGUCGCCUCUCCGACAUUCGCGCCGCCACCGACGUCCUCGUACGGUUGGCGGGAAGGUGGCGCGCUUUGUUGGGGGAAAGAGGCGGGUUCGGUUCCCGUGGCAGUCGCCGGCGGUGAGCGAUGACGACUGCCCGCGGUCGGAGCGCGUGCGAUGAUGGCCGCGCGGGUUCACCCAAACAAC
This 541-nucleotide microRNA precursor is filed under the name Oryza sativa (Asian cultivated rice). RNAcentral describes it as "miR5082 stem-loop (osa-MIR5082)". The record is from miRBase by way of RNAcentral. Lineage: Eukaryota; Viridiplantae; Streptophyta; Magnoliopsida; Poales; Poaceae.